AUUGAACGCUGGCGGCAGGCUUAACACAUGCAAGUCGAACGAGUGGCGGACGGGUGAGUAAUGCUUGGGAAUCUAGCUUAUGGAGGGGGAUAACUACGGGAAACUGUAGCUAAUACCGCGUACCAUAGGAUGAGCCCAAGUGGGAUUAGGUAGUUGGUGAGGUAAAGGCUCACCAAGCCGAGGAUCUCUCGCUGGUCUGAGAGGGUGACCAGCCACACUGGGAAUGAUGCACGGCCGAGACUCCUACGGGAGGCAGCAGUGGGGAAUAUUGCGCGAGGGAGGCGAUCUAGCGCAGCCAUGCCGCGUGAAUGAAGAAGGCCUUCGGGGUGUAGGGGUCUUUCGGUAGCAUGGCGGUACCUGCAGAAGAAGCACCGGCUAACUCCGUGCCAGCAGCCGCGGUAAUUC
RNAcentral lists this ribosomal RNA (405 nucleotides) under uncultured bacterium. RNAcentral describes it as "partial 16S ribosomal RNA". It matches the Rfam family "Bacterial small subunit ribosomal RNA", at positions 30 to 526 of the family's 1533-position model. The record is from RNAcentral.